This 253-nucleotide ribosomal RNA is filed under the name uncultured bacterium. RNAcentral describes it as "partial 16S ribosomal RNA". It matches the Rfam family "Bacterial small subunit ribosomal RNA", at positions 524 to 776 of the family's 1533-position model. The record is from RNAcentral.
UACGUAGGGGGCAAGCGUUGUCCGGAUUUAUUGGGCGUAAAGAGCGUGUAGGCGGUUCGGUAGGUCCGUUGUGAAAACUCGAGGCUCAACCUCGAGACGCCGAUGGAAACCCCCGAACUAGAGUCCGGAAGAGGAGAGUGGAAUUCCUGGUGUAGCGGUGAAAUGCGCAGAUAUCAGGAAGAACACCCGUGGCGAAGGCGGCUCUCUGGGACGGUACUGACGCUGAGACGCGAAAGCGUGGGGAGCGAACAGG